GACGAACGCUGGCGGCGUGCUUAACACAUGCAAGUCGAACGGAAAGGCCCUGCUUUUGUGGGGUGCUCGAGUGGCGAACGGGUGAGUAACACGGGAGUAACCUGCCCUUGACUUUGGGAUAACUUCAGGAAACUGGGGCUAAUACCGGAUAGGAGCUCCUGCUGCAUGGUGGGGGUUGGAAAGUUUCGGCGGUUGGGGAUGGACUCGCGGCUUAUCAGCUUGUUGGUGGGGUAGUGGCUUACCAAGGCUUUGACGGGUAGCCGGCCUGAGAGGGUGACCGGCCACAUUGGGACUGAGAUACGGCCCAGACUCCUACGGGAGGCAGCAGUGGGGAAUAUUGCACAAUGGGCGGAAGCCUGAUGCAGCAACGCCGCGUGCGGGAUGACGGCCUUCGGGUUGUAAACCGCUUUCGCCUAUGACGAAGCGUGAGUGACGGUAAUGGGUAAAGAAGCACCGGCUAACUACGUG
Molecule: ribosomal RNA, 468 nt
Filed under: uncultured bacterium
Lineage: Bacteria
Description: partial 16S ribosomal RNA
Rfam family: Bacterial small subunit ribosomal RNA
Source: RNAcentral